CAGCUGCGAAUGGACAGACUGACUGCAACUCCGUCGAACUAUUCAACAGCUUGGUACAGAGAAAACCAAUAGUGAGCAAUAGAUGGGUAAAACAGUCCCUGCUUGCUGGUACCACACUUGAUAUGGAGAACUUCAUGGUCACCAAGAUUUGUCAAUAUGGAGAAAUCUGUCAUGAAAUUGAUUACCAAGGAUUUGAGUUUGAAUUAAGGGGAGACACAUGGGUUGAUAUAACCAAAGGUCAGCUUUUGAGACUUAUUAAGGAUAUUGGCGGCAUCCCAGUUAUCAACUCAACAGAAGAUACAGUUGUUGUGUGUGCAGACAACAUGUUGCAUACUUCAAGUCAAUGUGUAACCAAAGAGUGGGUGUUCAGGUGCAUUGUGGAAGGAAAGAUGGUAUCAUUGAAUGAACAGACAACGGAUGGGGACAUUGUUUAUGAUAUCGAUGAAUUAUGUGUGAUUAAUGAACCACUGAAGAAAGUAAUUGUAGCAAUGUCAGGGUCAGCUAAUGGGAAAGUCCGGUCACAAAAAGCCCAAUGUUGCAUAUACUGCGAAAAGCUAGAUUACAAGUUACAUAGACACCUUGAGCAACAACACUCCAAUGAAAUUGAAGUAGCUAAGAUUCUCAACAUGCCAAAGAGAUCCAAAGAAAGGAGACGGGCAUGGGCAGCCAUAACUGCCAAGGGUAAUAAUCUGCACAAUUCAAAAGUAAAAGAAAAAGGGAUGGGUAUCCUAAUACCUAAGUACAGACAGAGCAAAGAACAAGAUAGAAAGAAAUAUCUGAUCUGUGAGUUCUGUAGGAUGCUUAUCGUUUCGACAGACCUAUACAAACACCACAGAAGUUGUGUCAGUAAGCCUGACGGAGUAAAAAGCGAUGCCCCAGUAAAUAAUUCUAAACUGUUAAAAGCAUGUGCCUCUACUGAAAAAGCAGGAAUAAAAAAUUUUACAAAAAGGUUAUUGUCAACAUGAGAGAGGACAAGAUUGGUAACUAUGCCAAAUCUGACAGUCUGAUUUUACAAUUUGGUGAAAGAAGAUUUGAAAAAACGGGAAAAUCAGAAAAUUCUUAUUCCCAUAUUUCUUGUUGUAUGCGCGAGUUGGCUAGAUUGGCUAUAAAAUUACCCGCAUAUAGACAAUUUGACAAAAUGCAUUCAGCCAAUCAUGUGGACUCUCCUUGAAACAAUAAAAAAUGUUGCAGGGUUCGAAGCAAGAACCUGUUCUUAUGCGUCACCGUCUUACGUUGAAAAAAUAGGAAGUAGUUUAAAAAAAGUUGCCAAAAUGCUUCGCACAAAAGCAUCAGAGGUGGAAGAUGGGGAGCAGGAAGAGAGAAUGUCCCGAUUUAUAAAAUGUUACGAUGACGAAUAUCAUGAAAGAAUGGUCUUUAUGGCCAAAGAAUCAAUGGCUAUUGAAAGGUUUAAUAACCAAAAACUUUUACCCAUCGUCAAGCAUGUUGUUAAGCUUAACACUUCCGAAAUGAAGCCAGCAUAUUAAGAUCCAGUGCAACAACUGAUCUCAGCACCCCAGCUGAUCUCAAAGAGAUUUAUUCGUCACUUUGCAAAGUUUCCUUAGCAGAGGUAAUACUUUUAAACCGAAAGAGAUCCGGAGAGACGGAAAGACUGAAAACGGAUGAUUUCGUAAAGGGCUCUUUUAAUGACGUUGUGGAUAAAGAUAUAUCAGAAACAUUAAGCAAAUUUGAAAGGCAUUUGUGUAAAUCUCAUUAUAGGAUAGAGACGCGGGGAAAAAGCCUCAAACGAGGCAGGCGAGUAUCAAUCCUCCUAACAAAAGAGAUGAAGGAAAACCUGGACACACUACUUAGAUUGCAGUCUAAGCUUCAAAUAGAGUCUAAGUACGUAUUCAUGAGACCAAGUGGAAGAAAGCCAUACAGAGGCAAUGAUUUACUGAAUAAGGCGACUGAGAAAGCAAAGGUCACACAUGCUUCACCAAUAACUUCAACAAGUUUACGCAAACAACUGGCAACUUUGUCUCAAGUUUUGAAUCUUACAGAGAGCAGCCAAGACAUACUAGCCACAUUUAUGGGACACGAUAUACGUACACAUAGGGAAUACUAUAGACUACCAGAAGGGACACUAGAAGUAUCAAAAGUUUCCAAGAUCCUACAUCAAUUGAAUAUGGGAAAAAUCACACAGACGGAUGCUGCACAACUUUAUGGAAACCAAACCAUAAUUGACAAGGAAACAACAGUAAGCGAUGAGGAAGCUUCAAGUGAUGAGGAUGUUGAAGACUGAUGACCAGCAUAAUGAAGAAAAUAGAGGAGGUGUCUGGGUUUCAACCUCAAUAUGGAUAUCAAGGAGCAGGGUAUGACACGGAUGAUGAUGAUAAUAUGGGUGAUCCAGAUUGAAUUUACAAUAAAAGAAAGCUUGCUCCAGACAGUGAAGACUCGGAUGAGGACUUAAAAAGGCAAACAAAGAAAAACAGAAAUAACAGUGUUGAUGUACAGAAGACACACUGGUCAGCCAAGGAAUCAUGUUCUGUGAAUAGCAAGAAUGUUACUUGAGCCAGGGAAUCAUGUUCUGUGAAUAGCAAGAAUGUUGCUUGAGCCAGGGAAUCAUGUUCUGUGAAUAGCAAGAAUGUUACUUGAGCCAGACACUGAAACUGUACUAGCCUCAUUGUUGUCUAGGUGGAAGUAACUGGGGUUGAAAUAGUUGUCUAGUGGGCAGCAGAAAUGGAACCCUAGCCGGAGGCUGGACAUGUGCUGACAUCCAAUUUGUCAAGGUGGAAGUGACUGUGCUUGGAAUAGGUGUCUAGUGAGCAAUAACAAUGGAGCUCAAGUCAGACACUUAACAUGUACUAACCUCCCUCCUGUUGAGGUGGAACUGACUGUGCCUUUAAUAGUUGUCUAGUGAGCAACAUAAAUGGAACUCUAGCCAGACGCUAAACAAGUACUAACAUCCAAUUUGUCUAGAUGGAAAUGACUGUGGUUGGAAUAGUUGUUUAGUGUGUAGUGGAAAUAGAACUUAAGUUAAACAGUGGACUUGUAUUGACCUCACUCCAGUUUGGGUGGAAGUGCCUGUGCUUGGGAUAGCUGUCCAGUCAUGAAUUACAAGCCAAAUCUUGUCAGGUAAAAUUACAUAGAUAUCAAUAACAGCCGCAGCCUCAGUGGCAUGCAGCCCAAUCACAGAUUGCGUGCUCAACUGAGGUUAAGUUCUUAGAUGUGUGCUAUUGUGAUCAGUCACUGUCUGCUUUUAAAUGUGUGUUGCCUGUCGUGUUUUGGUAACACAGGAAAGAAGUUUAAAAAAACUGGACAUGCGUUCUGAGUUCUCACCCAUUUGAGAAACAAUCCAUAUGUGAUACUGUGUGUUGUAAAUUUGUGCUGAACAUUGUAAUUUUAGACAAAUAUUCAUUUCAGUGUUGUUAGUAGCAAGUUGGUCUUAGCAAUUAUCAAGUCAUUAAGAAGCCUGUUAAUUAUUACUUGUAUGAACUGGGUUAAAUUAUUGUGAAUGAAUAUUUAAUUAAUUCCAUAAAUUUAACACCAACAUUAAAGCAAGUUAAUGACAUGUUCAUGUCUUUAGUUCAUGUCUAAAAGCGUAUGCCGUAUGUAUUUCAGUUUUAUAUAGACAUUAAGAACUUCUAAAAUUCCAUAAAGUGAUUGAAAAUCUCAAUUUAACUUAUAAUUCUUGGACAAACAUAGUUUGGUACAGUAUUUUAAUUUUGAGUGGUCUCCCUUGGACUUGCUUAACUGAGUCAACUUGUAUAUGUCACUUUCAUUUCGUUAACCAAUCCCUUAAAUAAUGUGAAAAUGCCAUGAGGUUGGAUUAAAUGGACAGUCAACAAGAUUGAGGAAAAAAAAGUUUUAAA
This is a long non-coding RNA of Dreissena polymorpha, 3809 nucleotides long. RefSeq lists it as uncharacterized. The record is from RefSeq and is a predicted model, not a curated record. NCBI's taxonomy places the organism in Eukaryota, Metazoa, Mollusca, Bivalvia, Myida, Dreissenidae. The transcript is spliced from 8 exons.